GACAUUCCAAAAUUCUCUGGGAAAUGUGGGUUCAACUGUGCCUUCGAGGCCCUCAGUGCCUUUCAGUUCUAUGGAAUAUACAAAUGGGAGUUCUGCAUCAAUGAAGAAAUGAAACCAAUUGGCCGAUCAGGCACCUGAGCUACAGUGAAAAAAACAUUGGACCUGGGAAAUUGACGUAGAGUCUCAACUCUGCUACUUUGUCAUUUGGAUAGAUGGGAUUCCUUUGAGACUCAGUUUUUGCACACGUGAAAUGGUAGUAAUUCUCCUUACUCUGUCCCUUUUCUACGUUGGCUGUGAGCAGCGAAGGACAACAUUGAAAGGGAGAACUUCUGGUGAGGCAGAUUUCUUGGGGCAAUUGUCGAUUUCAUUGUAUUUGGAAAGGAAGAGUUUUGAAGAUCAUUUCUUGUGCCUAAGCCAUCUUCUGUAACCAGAAGAACUGUAGGAACAGCACUUCCAUUCACAGAUGGAGCAACUACAUGAGGUCAUGCCAGCCUGGUCCUUCAGUAAAACCAGUCAGAGCCACCAGUGUCAAGUUCUGCAAGAUUAUUAAGAGAAACCAAAUCUAUUCCAGCCUCUGAUUAUGUGAUUCAAGGACCAUCUGACUCUCUAGAUCCCUUCAUACAGCCUCCAUACUUGCCAGCCUGUUCUUGCCUCAGGGUCACUGCACGUGGCGAGAACAACUGAAGGUCACGUGCACCCAUCCAGGCUCAGGUGCACUUCAGAGAAACACAGGUGCUGCAAAUGCAGUUUCUCUGAUGUCACACUGUCAAGGAAGCACAUAUACACCUCUGAUUCACGAAUUCGUGCUUUACAUCACAGGAUGCCCAGAGUCCACCAGGCCAAAAUAUUAUUAUUAAAGACAUCGAAGGAGAAUAUCUCUGAAUAGAAGGCAAGAUUCUUCAGACAGAAGGAGCAAGAUUUCCCAGCCACCUGGGCCUGAUUCUGGAGAGAAAAGGACUGAGAAGAAGG
Molecule: long non-coding RNA, 969 nt
Organism: Camelus dromedarius (Arabian camel)
Lineage: Eukaryota; Metazoa; Chordata; Mammalia; Artiodactyla; Camelidae
Exons: 7
Source: RefSeq, a predicted model, not a curated record